UACGUAGGCAGCGAGCGUUGUUCGGAGUUACUGGGCGUAAAGGGUGUGUAGGCGGUUGUUUAGGUUUGGUGUGAAAUCUCCCGGCUCAACUGGGAGGUGCGCCGAAUACUGAAUGACUAGAGUGCGGGAGAGGAAAGUGGAAUUCCUGGUGUAGCGGUGAAAUGCGUAGAUAUCAGGAGGAACACCGGUGGUGUAGACGGCUUUCUGGACCGCAACUGACGCUGAGACACGAAAGCGUGGGUAGCAAACAGG
This 252-nucleotide ribosomal RNA is filed under the name uncultured bacterium. RNAcentral describes it as "partial 16S ribosomal RNA". It matches the Rfam family "Bacterial small subunit ribosomal RNA", at positions 524 to 776 of the family's 1533-position model. The record is from RNAcentral.